AUGUUUUACAUUUCUAAAUAUAAAGACAAGUAUAAGAAUCUAGCAGGCGUCCCCAAACUGCGGCCCGCGGGCUGCAUGCUGUCCCCUAAGGCCGUUUAUCCUGGCCCCCGCCGCACUUCAGGAAGGGGCACCUCUUUCAUUGGUGGAAAUUCCCAGCAGAGGAGCCCCACGGGUCGCCAGCACGACUCUUGUGACCAGCGAGGCAGUUUUGCCGGUGCCUUGGAGCGUCGGUUCUUGGUGCAGAGUCAGAAAAGCACCAUCAAUCUUACUGCCGCUGUUUUAGUCGGCACACCCACUUUUGAUACUUCCGCUGAAUUUGAAAUUGGUAUGUUUGUAGAAAGGAGAAUAAAUAAUUUAAAAUCUGAGUGGAGAGUCAGAGCCUGUGCGGAGGCGACCGGUGUAUCCAGCCGGGGACAGCAGCCGGGAGUCACGAGCGACAGCGGCGAGCAGAAGGACGGCGAGAGGGAAUCCCGUUCUGCUUCCAGAGUGGAAGUGCUCACAGACUGGGGACAUCUGCAAGGUCUACCCCUGCAAGGUCUCGCUCCAAGGAAGAUUCCAGGUGUUCCAGAUCAAAGUCCAGGUCCAGCUCUGAAUCUAGGUCCAGGUCCAGAAGAAGGUGAAGGCGUUAUACCCGGCCAGGGUCUCGAUCCCGCUCCCAUAGACGAUCGCGCAGCAGGCCUCACAGGGAGACCAUCGCAGACCGCACAGCUGCAGUCAUUCUUCCACGUCCCCUCGCAGGCGUCGUGUUGGGAAUCGGGCAAAUCCUGAUCCUAACUGUUGUCUUGGAGUAUUGGAGUUGAGCCUGUACACCACAGAAAGAGAUCUAAGAGAAGUGUUCUCUAAAUAUGGUCCCAUUGCUGAUGUGUCUAUUGUCCAUGACCAGCGGUCUAGGCGUUCAGGAGGAUUUGCCUUUGUAUAGCGUGAAAAUGUAGAUGAUGCCAAGGAAGCUAAAGAACGUGCCAAUGGAAUGGAGCUUGAUGGGCGUAGGAUCAGAGUUGAUUUCUCUAUAACAAAAAGACCACAUACUCCCACACCAGGAAUUUACACUUGGAGACCUACCUAUGGCAGCUCUCCGCGUCGGGAUUGCUAUGACAGAGGAUAUGAUAGGGGCUAUGAUGAUCAGGACUACUAUAGCAGAUCCUACAGAGGAGGAGGUGGAGGAGGAGGAGGAUGGAGAGCUGCUCAAGACAGGGAUCAGAUUUACAGAAGACGGUCACCUUCUCCUUACUGUAGCCGUGGAGGAUACAGACCACGUUCCAGAUCUCGAUCAUACUCACCUCAUCACUAUUAAAGCAUGAAGACUUUCUGAAACCUGCCCUAGAGCUGGGAUAUUGUUUGUGGACAAUAUUUUUUAUUGUCUCUUGUUUAAAAAGUAAACAGUGCCUAGUGAAGUUAGAUGACUUUUACACCUUUUAUGAUGACCACUUUUGGUGGAGCUGAAAUGCUGUUUUCAUUCUGCAUUCGUGUAGUUCGCUGCUUUGUUCAAAGUUAAGUGUUUUCAGAAAAGUAUGUUUUGCAUGUAUUUUUUUACAGUCUAAAUUUUGACUGCUGAGAAGUUUCUAUUGUACAAAAACUUCAUUUAAAAGUUUUUUCUACUGAAUCCAGGGUACUCUGAAGAUCGAAGCCUGUGUAAAAUGCUAACAAAUGGCAAAAAGCAACAAUAAACAGUUUG
Saimiri boliviensis boliviensis (Bolivian squirrel monkey) is the source of this 1672-nucleotide non-coding RNA. Lineage: Eukaryota; Metazoa; Chordata; Mammalia; Primates; Cebidae. The record is from RefSeq and is a predicted model, not a curated record.